Molecule: long non-coding RNA, 673 nt
Organism: Ziziphus jujuba (common jujube)
Lineage: Eukaryota; Viridiplantae; Streptophyta; Magnoliopsida; Rosales; Rhamnaceae
Exons: 2
Source: RefSeq, a predicted model, not a curated record
GUUUGUAUGUAUAUUAUAUUAUAUACUUUUUCCUAUAAAUAAGAAAGUUCUGAAUUCCUUUUUGAUGAUCAAAAUAAACUCUAUGGGAGGUAGAUCCAUGAAGAAGAUUAAUGGCUACACGUCCACCGGUACCCUGUUUCAUAUAUAUCUCAUUAUUUUUCUUGCUACUUCCCCAACCUCUCCGUUGGUAGAAGCAAGAGUAUUACAAGGGUCGCAAAGCAACCUAUUUACGAGGAUUGAUGGAUAUUAUGCUGGCCGCCCCGAGACACCACCGCCACCACCUCCAGGAGUGGCACCAGCACCCCACACCUCAUCUACAUUCAUCCAACAGAGUUCUAUCUCUUUCUACUCUCCCACCUAUGCAUCGACUCGUUGAACAUGCAGAUAAUUAAUAUUAACUGUGCACCGUCCAAUUAUGAUUAAAGUAUAAUAAAUUGAUCUCUUAAAUCUGUUGUACUGGACCUACCGGUGCUGUAAUUAAGUGAUCAAUUAGUACUACAGCAUUGAACAAUUGCUUUUCAAUAUUCCUCUUAACUUUUUAUUUUCAAACUCCUGAUCACUGUAUUAUGGAAAUAAUGAGCUUGCCAUCGAGAUGUUUGCUUCAAAUAAUUCACUCAGUUUGUAAUUUUGUUUUAAUAGUUAAUUAGUAUUUGUGCACGUAUUUCCUUUGCUA